AAGCGUGGAGCAUGUUGGUUUAAUUCGAAGCAGCGCGAAGAACCUUUACCAGGUCUUGACAUCCCGAUGCUAUUUCUAGAGAUAGAAAGUUACUUCGGUACAUCGGUGACAGGUGGUGCAUGGUUGUCGUCAGCUCGUGUCGUGAGAUGUUGGGUUAAGUCCCGCAACGAGCGCAACCCCUAUUGUUAGUUGCCAUCAUUCAGUUGGGCACUCUAGCGAGACUGCCGGUAAUAAACCGGAGGAAGGUGGGAUGACGUCAAAUCAUCAUGCCCCUUAUGACCUGGGCUACACACGUGCUACAAUGGUUGGUACAACGAGUUGCGAGUCGGUGACGGCGAGCUAAUCUCUUAAAGCCAAUCUCAGUUCGGAUUGUAGGCUGCAACUCGCCUACAUGAAGUCGGAAUCGCUAGUAAUCGCGGAUCAGCACGCCGCGGUCGAAUACGUUCCCGGGCCUU
Molecule: ribosomal RNA, 455 nt
Filed under: uncultured Streptococcus sp.
Lineage: Bacteria; Bacillati; Bacillota; Bacilli; Lactobacillales; Streptococcaceae
Description: bacterial SSU rRNA
Rfam family: Bacterial small subunit ribosomal RNA
Source: RNAcentral